This 1412-nucleotide unclassified non-coding RNA is filed under the name Hevea brasiliensis (rubber tree). Lineage: Eukaryota; Viridiplantae; Streptophyta; Magnoliopsida; Malpighiales; Euphorbiaceae. The record is from RNAcentral.
AUAUUUAAUAUUUUUCAUCAACAGACAACAAUCAAAACUUUUUCACAUAUGCUGAAUAUAAAUGAAUUUUAUAAUUCAAUUCCAUAUCGCCCUCCAAUACGUUGCAGUGUCUCUGAAACUUCUUUCAUUGAUGGUCGGAAUUUGGGAUCAUAAUUAAGACAUUUAACAGCAAGCAGAGCAAUUUCUGCAGCGUCUUUGGCAGAGUAUUUUCCCUCCAAUCUGCUGUCCAUUAUGCUUCUCAACCUUCUUUUGUUGUUGAGAAGUGGUUUAACCCACCCCACCAGGUCUUGUUGCCCAGAUGGACGUUUUUUAUCGAUUGCCCGCAAGCCGGUUAGCAUCUCGAUCAAAACAACGCCAAAACUAUACACAUCGCUCUUUAUAUACAAGUUUCCAGUGGCAAUAUAUUCAGGAGCAACAUAACCAUAUGUGCCCAUAACAUGUCCUGUUACACAUGAAUUACCAGCUGUAGGUCCCCACUUUGCCAAGCCAAAAUCUGAUAUUUUUGCAUUAUAAGACCGAUCAAGCAAUAUAUUUGAGGACUUGAAAUCUCUGUAAAGUAUUGGUUUCUCCAUCAUAUGCAAGUAAGCCAGACCUUGAGCCAUUCCUAUCAUAACCUUAACCCUUGUUUCCCAUGAAAGCAGCCGAUUUGGGCUACUUCCAAACAAAUAAUAAUUCAAGCUGCCUCUUUCCAUGAGUUCAUAUACAAUGAGGAAAUUUUCAUUUUCCUUGCAGUAUCCCAUCAGCUUUACAAUGUUAGGAUGAGAAAGCCUCCCUAAGAAACCAACCUCUGUUCGCCAUUGUCGAAAUCCUUGCUUGCUGCUUGUGUCCAAUCUCUUAACAGCAAUGGUUCGUUUCCUGGUACCUCGAUAAUUUUUCUCGUUGAUCCAGCCCUUGUAGACACUGCCAAAACCUCCUCUUCCCAGCACCAUGUCACUUCUAAAAUUAAAGGUUGCAGCUUUCAGUUGUGCAAAGGUGAAAGCUCUCAACUUUGAAUCUGAUUCAGUUACUACAUCAGGAAGAUUCUCGUCUUCAAUUGCAGCGGGGAAUUCAUCGUCAUCAAUGGCAUUGUACCCCCAGAUAGCUGCAAUCGCGCCACUCACUUGAGAUAACCGUGCUGUAAGAUUGGUGGUUACCAUAGAGAACCAGCUUGUGCGUGAGACAUUGCUACCCACAAAAGAUGCAUCCCCAUCAAUGAGAUGGCCGAUGCUGCUGGGGAGCGGGUCUGGGUCUGGGAUUGAGUCUGCAACUGGAGGUGUAGCCGGAGGGAUAGAAGCUGGGGCUAGAUUGGACUUACCAGCAAUGCAACUCCAGCAAAUCCCCAUCAAAAAAAUUUUUUCUGUACAUGCAUGAUUAUCGAUUUCUGUUUCUGAUGAGAAUAGGUCGAGAGAAAACUGAAAAGGCUAAAGAUUUUC